UCAAGCUCUCAUAAUUUUCGAGUUAUGUUAAAAAAUAAUCUCAAAAUCGAUGGGAAAUCGAAUGGGUAAAACCCAAGAUUGAUGCGUCUACGAAUAAGGACAGGCAGACCUGGCUAGAUCGACUCCCCUAUCAGGAGAUGGAGUAUAGGAGAUGCUUUCUUCUGCCUGUUACACACUUUGGCAACGAAACAUUAUACCCUUUAAUACCCAUUUACAGUGUGUAUCAAAAAUGAAAGAAAGGCAGCGUCUAAAUAUAAAACUCAGCUCGGUUCAGUUUGCCAUCGAGAUCGGAAGCGUCGUUGUGGCGACUUUUUGUGCUCUUUCUGUGAAGUGAAAUUUUUGCCUCAAUGCCACAAAGUCUACAAUGCGCCACAUGAAAAGCGAGCAACAUGUCCAAGAAACGUGAAAACCAAAUAAAUGAGCACCUGGCACAGCGACGCUUGAAUACCCUCUAUAACUUGUUGUCUCGUUUAAAUCUAUGGAUGUGAACCCAAAAAAAAAAAAAAAAACAUAAAAUGUAUAUAUUUUGUAUAUAUUCCCACAUAUAUAUUGAAUUUUAGUUAAAGAAAAUAGAACAAGCUGAAAAGGGGCCUAGCUCAA
Drosophila virilis is the source of this 600-nucleotide non-coding RNA. Lineage: Eukaryota; Metazoa; Arthropoda; Insecta; Diptera; Drosophilidae. The record is from RefSeq and is a predicted model, not a curated record.